UCGACGCGUCGUUAUUAUUGCAACGCACUAAAGGAACUUCAGGGGGCACAGCAUCGCUUCCCUGGCGCAGCAGGGAGUUUAUGAAGACAGAGAAGCAAAGAUAAAGAGACCGAAACUUUCUAAAGUAUGGGAGAAUUUCAGCCAAAAUAAACCAAAGAAACGAGCUGAAUGCAGACACUGCAGAGCAGAGUUGUGGUUUCACGCCAGCAACACGGUGAAACGCGAGCACCCUGCAGCCAGCGUUAUUCAGGACAGCACUAAGCAAUGGAGUGUGGAUGACUUUCACCAGAGAAGAGGUUCAUGCACCCCUCAAAUGGCUGAGGUCCUCACAGACAGCAUUCACAUGUUUCUCAAUGACAUGUUAUAUAUGUUUUUGAUUUCCAGAGUGAUAACUUCUGAAACAUAACAGUUUCUAAUGCUGUCCAAAGCUUUCUUAUUUCAUUGAUUUUUUUAUUGUGAUUGUGUAUUAAUGUUUCAAAUAUAUUUGAUUAAACUAUCAAGCUUAA
Molecule: long non-coding RNA, 506 nt
Organism: Trichomycterus rosablanca
Lineage: Eukaryota; Metazoa; Chordata; Actinopteri; Siluriformes; Trichomycteridae
Exons: 2
Source: RefSeq, a predicted model, not a curated record